RNAcentral lists this ribosomal RNA (429 nucleotides) under Chloroflexota bacterium. Its description in RNAcentral is "Chloroflexi bacterium partial 16S ribosomal RNA". It matches the Rfam family "Bacterial small subunit ribosomal RNA", at positions 355 to 776 of the family's 1533-position model. The record is from RNAcentral. Lineage: Bacteria; Bacillati; Chloroflexota.
UGGGGAAUAUUGCACAAUGGGCGCAAGCCUGAUGCAGCCAUGCCGCGUGUAUGAAGAAGGCCUUCGGGUUGUAAAGUACUUUCAGCGGGGAGGAAGGGAGUAAAGUUAAUACCUUUGCUCAUUGACGUUACCCGCAGAAGAAGCACCGGCUAACUCCGUGCCAGCAGCCGCGGUAAUACGGAGGGUGCAAGCGUUAAUCGGAAUUACUGGGCGUAAAGCGCACGCAGGCGGUUUGUUAAGUCAGAUGUGAAAUCCUCGGGCUCAACCUGGGAACUGAAUCUGAUACUGGCAAGCUUGAGUCUCGUAGAGGGGGGUAGAAUUCCAGGUGUAGCGGUGAAAUGCGUAGAGAUCUGGAGGAAUACCGGUGGCGAAGGCGGCCCCCUGGACGAUGACUGACGCUCAGGUGCGAAAGCGUGGGGAGCAAACAGG